AUAUGGAUGUGCUAUGGAUUAAGGAUGUUAUAUAUAUGAUGUAUGGAUUAUGGAUGUGUUAUAUGUUGUAUGGACUAAGGAUGUUAUAUAUAUGAUGUAUGGAUUAAGGAUGUUAUAUAUAUGAUGUAUGGAUUACGGAUGUGUUAUGUACUGUAUGGAUUACGAAUGUUAUAUAUAUGUUGUAUGGAUUAUGUUAUAUUUAUA
This 204-nucleotide long non-coding RNA is filed under the name Hordeum vulgare. RNAcentral describes it as "long non-coding RNA (HVUL_LNC001539)". The record is from RNAcentral. Lineage: Eukaryota; Viridiplantae; Streptophyta; Magnoliopsida; Poales; Poaceae.